RNAcentral lists this long non-coding RNA (203 nucleotides) under Musa acuminata (dwarf banana). Its description in RNAcentral is "long non-coding RNA (MACU_LNC004584)". Lineage: Eukaryota; Viridiplantae; Streptophyta; Magnoliopsida; Zingiberales; Musaceae. The record is from RNAcentral.
UCUUAACUCCGGUGCAACUCCUGCUGCAUGUCUUACUUCCAUCGUAGUUAAUCCUGCACAUGUAAAACAAAACUUCGAUCGAGACAAUUAAUCCUAAGCAAUUAACCAAGUUGUCCGGCAUGUCAUUGGUCCCUCGACGCUUCGUCCGAUUCUUCGGCGCAUCGUCCUCUUCUGCGGCCUAUUGCCCAAUCGGCCAAUUGACU